Molecule: ribosomal RNA, 119 nt
Filed under: Pteropus alecto (black flying fox)
Lineage: Eukaryota; Metazoa; Chordata; Mammalia; Chiroptera; Pteropodidae
Source: RNAcentral
GUCUACGGCCAUGCCCCCAUGAACAAGCCCGAUCUUGUCUGAUCUUGGAAACUAAGCAGACUUGGGCCUGGUGAGUACUUAGAUGGAAGUCCACCUAGGAAGACCAGGUGCUGUAGGUA